GCCAGCAUAGUGUGGUGGUUUGGACAUUGGACUAUCUCUGGAGACCAGGGUUCGAAUCCCUGCUUGGCC
Molecule: non-coding RNA, 69 nt
Organism: Phrynosoma platyrhinos (Desert horned lizard)
Lineage: Eukaryota; Metazoa; Chordata; Lepidosauria; Squamata; Phrynosomatidae
Source: the annotation of a GenBank genome assembly